GGAUUGAGCUCGAGCUAGCUCGAAUAAAGGCUCUUUUGCUUUUGCAUCGGACUCGGCUCCCUGGUGGUCUUUGGGGAUCACGAAUUCUGGGCAUAACACAAAGCCCACAUGUUUCAGCACCAUUUGUGCUGUUGGCCACACUGAGGAUUCCUUUCGGCCUCCCACUAACCCUGCAAGAACCUACUGAAAGAACUCCCACGGGAAAGAAUCAUCGGUUUACAGGCUCCAACUGGGAAAGCUACACAUUGCCUUUCCCACAAGAAAUCCACCACCCCAGCAACUCAGCCAAUGAGAAAAUGUCAUCCACCUGAAACCUUGCUUUUCUCCAAUGGUCUUUCCUUCAAAACAAUCCUUUCCAUUCCUUCUUAUCCAUAAAAUUAUUCCCUUGUUUGUAGGCCUUGCUUAUAAUUUUGUUGUCUGAAAUUGCAAUUCUAUGUUAGUCUUGAAUAAACCCAUUUUUGCUGGUAAAGUAACUAACUGUUUUAUUUUUAAGGUUAACACUAAUCUGUCCUUCCUUAACCUCAAAGGAAUUUCAGGACUGAAACAUCAGAUACUAUGAGAAUUAAAAUAAAACUAUUCAAUUUAUGGGGAUUCCAAUGGAAUUUGGUUAUGUGAAAAAAAGAUGAAAAUAGCCCCCCUCCUUCCACCCUACUCCCAUUCAUAGCAAAAUAUGGCUCCAAGUUAAAUAUGUCACUUAGAGAAUUUAUUUUCUUAGAACCCCUAAAGGGCCAUCAGUUGUAAGUAAUUAACAUAAUACAGUCGAUCCUUAUUAUUUGUAGAUUUCUUACUUGUAACUUCACCUGCUUACUAACAUUUAUUUGUAACCCCAGAUCAAUACUCCCUACGCUUUCCAGUUAUUCAGAGUAUGGCAAAGGAUUUGAAUCCUAAUGCAUGCAUUCCUAACUGGGGUAAAACAAGGCAACACUCUGCCUUUUAGCUUCAGCUUUCAUGCUAUAAACAAGUGUUCUUUUUACGAUCUAUUUAGUAUCCUGUUUCUUGACUAUUUGUACUUUUUGUUAGCAAUUUUGUUAGUUAGAAUGACCCUCAAGCAUUGUGUUGAAGUGUGGUCUGGUAUUGCUAUUACCAGAUGGAAAAGGAAAGAAGCCUCAGUUCUCUUGGCUGCCACAGUAAAGAAUUACAGGACAGCAAUAUGAAAGUAAAGCAGAGCAAAGUUUUAUUAAAAUACACUCCACAGGAGGAAUGGGACAGUCAAGAGAGACAAAAGCCUGAAAACUCUGGGGUGUGGGCUGAAAAUCAACUUUUUUUUUUUUGGUUUGUCCUAGGGUCACAACAUUUGAGUGACAGGCCUGAAUUAUAUAAUAAUUGGCCAACCACCAUGUCGUUUCCCAAAAUGUAUUCAAGAUACCUGCACAGGGUAGGAAUCAGCAACAUUAUUUCUAUUCUGGAGACAUAGUCAAAUAAGGACAAGCAGCUUGCUCUGGACAAGUGCCACAAGCACAACACACUUAACUCUUCCUCUGCCUGGACAAUGGAACCAAAGACACCCUGCUAGAGGGGUGGAAUGGGGUGGUCCCUGGGUGGUCUCGGAUGCGGCUCUCCAUGAGGAUGCCUAAGGCCCAUCCUCCUGUUGCUCAUGCCUAGCUUCCUGCCAUCCUGAAAGCCAGUGGCUGUGAAGAGCCUUAUGGAGAAAAUACAUGUGUCAGAUAAGUAUCAUAUUCAGGCAAGAGUUACAGUGCUGUUAGCCAAGGGUUUAACGUAAAUGAAUUAAAUAAGGUGUCUUUAAACAAGAAUUCCAUCGAAUAAAGUUCUAUAUUAGUUGACAAACAAGUGACCAGAGGCUUACUGUAUCUCUCCUAGAAGCAAUGGUUCAGCAUUCACUAAUACAUUGUUACAGGUGACUUCACACAACAUAAAUACUGGAAGAAUAGGAAGAAUCAAGAUAGACCACAUGCUGUGUGGCCUUUCUUUUGUAAACUGAUUUCUCUGCUUUGCAAAUUUCAAGGUAGCAGGAGUUUACUUACAUACCAGUUUGUUUGUGUGGGUGAGAGGGAGGCUUUAGAAAGAAGGGACAGACACAGAAACUAGGCAGAUUAGAAAUGUGCAAACCACCCCCAAAUAAUGCAAUAUUGUUCAUUUUGAUGCCUUAACAUCUGUUCUGAGAAACAACAGGAGGUAGACCCAUAGAAAAAGAGAAGAAAUUCUCAGUGCUGGACAUUUCUGGGAACAUUCUUUUGUAUACUCAGUUUUUACUCUAAAUGUAAUGUAAUGUAAUAUGUAAUGUAAUGUGAUAAUGUAAUGUAAAUGCUGAAUAUGCACAGAAAGCCAAGUUUCUUGCAAGAAAAUCAGGCUCAGAAUAAAAGCUGUGUUUCCCACCUGCCUGCUGUAAUGCUAUAUCAUAGGCACCAGCCCUGUAAGAAGCUCCCAGCGCCACCCCUGGCUUAAGAUGCAUUUAUAAAGCCCUCACUUGCACCUUCUGUCAGCCUAUCUUUUCAUUAGUGCCCACUUGUCUCAAUUCUCCCCCUUUUCACACUGUUCCAGAAAUGUAGUUUUGCUCUUGGCAGGAGCUCUAAAACCAACACUACUACCUACUCCCAUCCCCACCUUGUGACCUGCUGGUGUCCACAUCCUGGCCAGGCCACAGGCCUCAUACACACUAGAUUUUGUUGCAUGUGAUGUAAUAAACAAUGGCACACUGCAAUAACAGUUAUGCACUGAAUCUCUCUCCGUCUCUCUCUCUCUCUCUCUCUC
Felis catus (domestic cat) is the source of this 2709-nucleotide long non-coding RNA. RefSeq lists it as uncharacterized. The transcript is spliced from 2 exons. The record is from RefSeq and is a predicted model, not a curated record. NCBI's taxonomy places the organism in Eukaryota, Metazoa, Chordata, Mammalia, Carnivora, Felidae.